CCCUUAGAUGUUCUGGGCCGCACCCGUGCUACACUGAGUGGAUCAGCGGGUCAGGUUGCGCGAAAGCGUUUCCUAAUCUUUAAAUCCGCUCGUGAUGGGGAUUGACGGUUGCAAUUUUCUGUCAUGAACGAGGAAUACCUUGUAAGCGCGGGUCAUCAUCCCGCGCUGAAUACGUCCCUGCCCUUUGUACACACCGCCCGUCGCUCCUACCGAUUGAGUGGUCCGGUGAGGCUUUGGGAUCUGAGCGGAAAGAGCGUUUCGCUGUUUCUGCUCGGAAAACUCAGUCGAACCUUAUCAUUUAGAGGAAGGAGAAGUCGUAACA
This 322-nucleotide ribosomal RNA is filed under the name uncultured eukaryote. RNAcentral's name for it is "partial 18S ribosomal RNA". It matches the Rfam family "Eukaryotic small subunit ribosomal RNA", at positions 1470 to 1796 of the family's 1831-position model. The record is from RNAcentral.